UACAGCUGUACCACCCUGAACGCACCUGAUCUCGUCUGAUCUCAGAAGCUAAGCAGGGUCAGGCCUAGUUAGUACUUAGAUGGGAGAAAAUAGGCCUGGGGCUGAGG
RNAcentral lists this ribosomal RNA (107 nucleotides) under Microcebus murinus (gray mouse lemur). Lineage: Eukaryota; Metazoa; Chordata; Mammalia; Primates; Cheirogaleidae. The record is from RNAcentral.